Aotus nancymaae (Ma's night monkey) is the source of this 107-nucleotide small nuclear RNA. The record is from Ensembl. NCBI's taxonomy places the organism in Eukaryota, Metazoa, Chordata, Mammalia, Primates, Aotidae.
GUGCUCGCUUCAGCAGCACAUAUACUAAAAUUGGAAUGAUACACAGAAGAUUAUCAUGGCCUCCGCACAAGGAUGACAUGCAAAUUCAUGAAGUGUUCCAUAUUUUU